UGCAACAACAGUAGCUGCAUGUCAGACUGUGUGGAUGAGAAGGAUUAUGAAGGAGUUGUUGCAUGAACAACA
Non-coding RNA from Picea glauca (white spruce), 72 nucleotides. NCBI's taxonomy places the organism in Eukaryota, Viridiplantae, Streptophyta, Pinopsida, Pinales, Pinaceae. The record is from Rfam.